Molecule: long non-coding RNA, 838 nt
Organism: Gymnodraco acuticeps
Lineage: Eukaryota; Metazoa; Chordata; Actinopteri; Perciformes; Bathydraconidae
Exons: 2
Source: RefSeq, a predicted model, not a curated record
GGACACCAGUUCGGCCAGUUGAGAAAUCGCCCUCUGCAAGUGUGAAGCGACGGAGGACCAGAAGUAGUGCUCGGAGUAAGAAUAAGAGAUGUCCUUCCAUGGCGUUGGGGGGUACAUGAAGGCAGCAUUCUGGAUCUGGUCGUUAAUAUCCUCGUCCUCGUUGAAAGGGAACGUCCCGCUCAAGCUGACGUACACGAUGACUCCCACCGACCACAUGUCUAAGGAGCGGUUGUAGCCUUUGCUGCGCAGCACCUCAGGAGCCAGGUAGGCCGGAGUGCCCACCACAGAGCGCCGGAACGACUUCUCACCGAUGAUACGGGCAAAGCCAAAGUCACACAGCUUUACCUGGGAGAAACAACAUGGUCAACAUAUAGACACAUGUGUAUACAGACAUACCAGACACAUAAUGCUGCAAAUACUCAUUAUUUUUCAUUAGCCAUGCUGUGGAUUUUCUAGAGAUUAAAGGUAUGGUCCAUAAAAUGUCAAACAACAGUCAAAAAAGGGCUUUCAAAUUAUCCAAGUCCAAGGAGCGGUCUUUAAAUGUAUUGUUUUAUCACUUUAAUAUGAUAUUUAAUAGCAAAAAGCAAGAAAUCUCAAUAUUUAAGAGCUCAGACUAUUUUGCAAGACCAAUGUAUGGGACUAUAAUCAAUUAUCCUAAAUGACUUGUGUACAUAUCUUUCUAACACUUUUAUUUUUACAUUUCUUUACUUUUAUUAUUAGUGUUAUUCUUCUGUGAAUUCUUAUCUUUCCUAUCCUGUGUUUACCCUUAGUGCUGUUGCUGAUAAGACACCUGAAUCUCCCUUUGAGGAUCAAUAAAGGUUUAUCUUAUCAAAAGUAA